AUGGACAAAUGCCCUAAGUUAUUUUGCUUUUUUAUUUUUGUGCUUUUAGUGGACUGUCACCUUUAUUUACACGUAGCUGAUUCUGCACCCAUAAAACUCCAUGGAUUGCCAAAUGAAUCAAAUGAAAACAAUGAAGCAUAUCAACACAAUGAAUAUCCAUCAAAAUAUUCAGGUAUGACGAAAAACAAGAGUACCACCUCCAAGAUGAAAAUCGAGCAAGACAAUGAUAUAGCAUAUGCUAUACCUAAAAGAUACAUCAAAUGGAAUAUAAGGAAUAUGGAUUUAUAAAACUCAAUCCAUAGUUUCCCUUUCAUAUACAACCACACAACCAGAAACAAUAAAUGCAUCAUGUAAUCAGAAAAGUAUGGCCA
RNAcentral lists this long non-coding RNA (371 nucleotides) under Felis catus (domestic cat). RNAcentral's name for it is "lncRNA (ENSFCAG00000040436.2)". Lineage: Eukaryota; Metazoa; Chordata; Mammalia; Carnivora; Felidae. The record is from RNAcentral.